GAUGAAGAACGUAGCGAAAUACGAUAAUUAAUGUGAAUUGCAGAAUUCCGUGAAUCAUCGAGUCUUUGAACGCACAUUGCGCCCCCUGGUAUUCCGGGGGGCAUGCCUGUCCGAGCGUCAUUGCUGCCCUCAAGCACGGCUUGUGUGUUGGGCCUCCGUCCUCCUCCCGGGGGACGGGCCCGAAAGGCAGCGGCGGCACCGCGUCCGGUCCUCGAGCGUAUGGGGCUUCGUCACCCGCUCUUGUAGGCCCGGCCGGCGCUUGCCGACACAUCAAUCUUUUUUCCAGGUUGACCUCGGAUCAGGUAGGGAUACCCGCUGAACUUAAGCAUAUCAAUAAGCGGAGGA
Molecule: unclassified non-coding RNA, 345 nt
Filed under: soil metagenome
Description: partial contains 5.8S ribosomal RNA, internal transcribed spacer 2, and large subunit ribosomal RNA
Rfam family: 5.8S ribosomal RNA (bases 1-120)
Source: RNAcentral